CAAUAGUUUACAGUCCAUCAUUCCAGCUUCUUAAGAGUCCCUGCAAAAAAUAAUCUGCAAUUCUUGGAAACUGCGUAUUGCUGUUCCCCUCCCUGCAAAAUGAAGACUUCUCUGCUAUGCCAAUCCACCCACUCUUUCAAGAGCACUCAAGGAAGACAUUCACAGAUAAUGCAAGACAAACAAAAUGACUCAUAUGAGUAGGCUUUGUUAAUUUAGUGUGUUCUUCUCCUCCAUGGCCAAAUGCCAAAAACUCUGCCAAGGAAUUAAUUCCCCUUGACAGUAAAAUCCUGUUCCUCAGACUGCAGUAUGUAUUGGUCAAUGUAGUGCAUGUAUACUUUUCUUAGAAGAUUGAAGACUUUCUCUUUGUUAUCCAUGUUUCUGCAUAUAUUAUCUCUUGUUAAAUGAAGUCUGCUUGUUUUUAAGAAUGCUGUGUGAAGUCUUUUGUUAUUUCUAGACUUCUUUGGAAUGCUUGCAGUAGGUAUAUUCCUCAAAGUUUAUCAGGUUUAUAAUUUGGUUAACAUCAGAAACAUUUCAGGAUAAAAGCAUCCAUACACAUUAGUAAAGUUUUGUGUUUUACUAGGAAACUUACAUUGUCUAGGUUGGCAGCAAUGCACAGCCUCCUGCUUUUUUGAGCUUUUGCACUUCUCUGUGUCUUGCUUCCUCAUAGUAGUUUGCGUUUAAAGGAACUUAAGGUCUUUAAAGGAACCCUAAAUAUUUUCCUUAGUGUGAAGCUAUAAUAAUUAACUGUAUUUUGACAUUUAAUCUUUUUUUGUGCUACUAAUUUUCUGAUUUUGUAGGCCUGAAGGUUCUAAGUGACGCAGUCAGAGGUGUCUUAGUGCCUGCAGGAGAUUAUUUUGUGUAAUUCUGGGGAGAGACAAGGAGAGUGUGUAUUUGAAUUCUCCUUCUAAGAGCAAUGUAAAUAAUAGUCUACCUGGAACACAUAGGUAGAAUAGCGAGUCCCAACAGCAAAAAUGUAAACAAAGAUAAAAUUAUAGCAUACUCUUUCAAUUUAUUAAAUUAUAAUUACAAA
Apus apus (common swift) is the source of this 1030-nucleotide long non-coding RNA. RefSeq lists it as uncharacterized. The transcript has 2 exons. Lineage: Eukaryota; Metazoa; Chordata; Aves; Apodiformes; Apodidae. The record is from RefSeq and is a predicted model, not a curated record.